GAUGAACGCUGGCGGCGUGCCUAAUACAUGCAAGUCGAGCGAACAGAUGAGGAGCUUGCUCCUCUGACGUUAGCGGCGGACGGGUGAGUAACACGUGGAUAACCUACCUAUAAGACUGGGAUAACUUCGGGAAACCGGAGCUAAUACCGGAUAAUAUAUUGAACCGCAUGGUUCAAUAGUGAAAGACGGUUUUGCUGUCACUUAUAGAUGGAUCCGCGCCGCAUUAGCUAGUUGGUAAGGUAACGGCUUACCAAGGCAACGAUGCGUAGCCGACCUGAGAGGGGGAUCGGCCACACUGGAACUGAGACACGGUCCAGACUCCUACGGGAGGCAGCAGUAGGGAAUCUUCCGCAAUGGGCGAAAGCCUGACGGAGCAACGCCGCGUGAGUGAUGAAGGUCUUCGGAUCGUAAAACUCUGUUAUUAGGGAAGAACAAAUGUGUAAGUAACUAUGCACGUCUUGACGGUACCUAAUCAGAAAACCACGGCUAACUACGU
Molecule: ribosomal RNA, 496 nt
Filed under: uncultured bacterium
Lineage: Bacteria
Description: partial 16S ribosomal RNA
Rfam family: Bacterial small subunit ribosomal RNA
Source: RNAcentral